Molecule: ribosomal RNA, 376 nt
Filed under: uncultured bacterium
Lineage: Bacteria
Description: bacterial SSU rRNA
Rfam family: Bacterial small subunit ribosomal RNA
Source: RNAcentral
AUUGAACGCUGGCGGCAUGCCUUACACAUGCAAGUCGAACGGCAGCGGACCUUCGGGUGCCGGCGAGUGGCGAACGGGUGAGUAAUAUAUCGGAACGUACCUUUCAGUGGGGGAUAACGUAGCGAAAGUUACGCUAAUACCGCAUAUUCUGUGAGCAGGAAAGCAGGGGAUCGCAAGACCUUGCGCUGAUUGAGCGGCCGAUAUCAGAUUAGCUAGUUGGUGAGGUAAAGGCUCACCAAGGCCGACGAUCUGUAGCGGGUCUGAGAGGAUGAUCCGCCACACUGGAACUGAGACACGGUCCAGACUCCUACGGGAGGCAGCAGUGGGGAAUUUUGGACAAUGGGCGCAAGCCUGAUCCAGCCAUGCCGCGUGAGUG